UUUGUUGCAUUUGCAAUGGAGCUACUGCGACAAAAGACAAUUAAUCACCCAUUCUGCUAUUGCAAUUUGGAUCUUACACCACAAACCCACUCUGUAUGCUGCUACUAUAAAACUUUUCCUGAGAUAGAAACUUUAUGUAACUGUAUCACCCAAAGUGGGAAGAACUGGUAUUUUAGUCUAAUUUAAGAGAAUAAUUCUAUAUUUAGAUUCAUCUCCAGGCAUAAAAAUGAUGCAGUUGUUGCUUGCCAGUGUUGGCAGCUCCAAUAAAUUUCCAUGUCCAACUUAUUUGUUUGAACCCAGUAAACAAAUAUAGGAUUGAUGGCUAAAAGAAAAGAAAAUUUAAGAUGGAAAAAGAACACAGGAUAAGGUUGUGUUUGUUGAACCUGACUGGAUGAAUCUGACUUUUUCCUGAAAAAGGUUGCAACAUAAUGUCUUCUGAUUCAUUUAUUGUGACAUAACAUGACUGGUUUAAACUGACUCAACCAUAGAGUACUGUGGCAAAGUCUGAAAAUGAGAAAUGGAUGCAGUGGUUUAAUAAAACAUACAUAACUCAUACAAACACAGAUUGAAAUACAGUCUCUCUCUCUCUCUAUAUAUAUAUAUAUAAAAAAAAAAAAAACACCCAGCACGCCCCUGCGGGCGGUUUAUCCUUCAAGCUCGGGUCCUCUACCAGAGGCCUGGGAGCUUGAGGGUCCUGCGCAGUAUCUUAGCUGUUCCCAGGACUGCGCUCUUCUGGACAGAGAUCUCCGAUGUUAUUCCCGGGAUCUGCUGGAGCCACUCGCCUAGCUUGGGAGUCACCGCACCUAGUGCUCCGAUUACCACGGGGACCACCGUUACCUUCACCCUCCACAUCCUCUCGAGCUCUUCUCUGAGCCCUUGGUAUUUCUCCAGCUUCUCGUGUUCCUUCUUCCUGAUAUUGCUGUCAUUCGGAACCGCUACAUCGAUCACUACGGCCGUCUUCUUCUGUUUGUCUACCACCACUAUGUCCGGUUGGUUAGCCACCACCAUUUUGUCCGUCUGUAUCUGGAAGUCCCACAGGAUCUUAGCUCGGUCAUUCUCCACCACCCUUGGGGGCAUCUCCCAUUUUGACCUCGGGACUUCUAGGUUAUACUCGGCACAGAUGUUCCUGUACACUUGGUUAUGGCGUUCCAUGUAUGCCUUGCCUGCUAGCAUCUUGCACCCUGCUGUUAUGUGCUGGAUUGUCUCUGGGGCAUCUUUACACAGCCUGCACCUGGG
Molecule: long non-coding RNA, 1236 nt
Organism: Astatotilapia calliptera (eastern happy)
Lineage: Eukaryota; Metazoa; Chordata; Actinopteri; Cichliformes; Cichlidae
Source: Ensembl